GACGAACGCUGGCGGCGUGCUUAACACAUGCAAGUCGAACGGAAAGGCCCUGCUUUUGUGGGGUGCUCGAGUGGCGAACGGGUGAGUAACACGUGAGUAACCUGCCCUUGACUUUGGGAUAACUUCAGGAAACUGGGGCUAAUACCGGAUAGGAGCUCCUGCUGCAUGGUGGGGGUUGGAAAGUUUCGGCGGUUGGGGAUGGACUCGCGGCUUAUCAGCUUGUUGGUGGGGUAGUGGCUUACCAAGGCUUUGACGGGUAGCCGGCCUGAGAGGGUGACCGGCCACAUUGGGACUGAGGUACGGCCCAGACUCCUACGGGGGGUAGCAGGGGGGAAUAUUGCACAAUGGGCGGAAGCCUGAUGCAGCAACGCCGCGUGCGGGAUGACGGCCUUCGGGUUGUAAACCGCUUUCGCCUGUGACGAAGCGUGAGUGACGGUAAUGGGUAAAGAAGCACCGGCUAACUACGUG
RNAcentral lists this ribosomal RNA (468 nucleotides) under uncultured bacterium. Its description in RNAcentral is "partial 16S ribosomal RNA". It matches the Rfam family "Bacterial small subunit ribosomal RNA", at positions 28 to 507 of the family's 1533-position model. The record is from RNAcentral.